UGAGCAAUCUGCCCUUCUCAUCGGAAUAAGCGUUGGAAACGACGUCUAAUGCCGAAUACGACCUCCUUUCGCAUGAUCGGAGGUGGAAAGCUCCGGCGGAGAAGGAUGAGCUCGCGGCCUAUCAGCUAGUUGGUGUGGGUAAUGGCCCACCAAGGCGACGACGGGUAGCCGGCCUGAGAGGGUGACCGGCCACACUGGGACUGAGACACGGCCCAGACCUCCUACGGGAGCAG
RNAcentral lists this ribosomal RNA (233 nucleotides) under uncultured bacterium. Its description in RNAcentral is "partial 16S ribosomal RNA". It matches the Rfam family "Bacterial small subunit ribosomal RNA", at positions 118 to 347 of the family's 1533-position model. The record is from RNAcentral.